RNAcentral lists this small nucleolar RNA (201 nucleotides) under Microcebus murinus (gray mouse lemur). RNAcentral describes it as "Small nucleolar RNA U3 (ENSMICG00000033099.2)". It matches the Rfam family "Small nucleolar RNA U3". From Rfam's summary of the family: Small nucleolar RNAs (snoRNAs) are involved in the processing and modification of rRNA in the nucleolus. There are two main classes of snoRNAs: the box C/D class, and the box H/ACA class. Lineage: Eukaryota; Metazoa; Chordata; Mammalia; Primates; Cheirogaleidae. The record is from Rfam by way of RNAcentral.
AAGACUAUACUUUCAGGGAUCACUUCUGUAGUUUGUUACUAGGGAAAUUUCUGAGUGUGUAGAGCACGAUAAACCAUCAGGAGGAGGUGCCGUGUUCUCUCCUAAGCGUGAAGCUGGCUUUUGGUGUUGCUUUGCUGCAACUGCCACUUGCCAUUGAUAAUUGUUCUUCUCUUCAGAGAGAGAGGACACAGUCUAAGUGGC